GACGAACGCUGGCGGCGUGCUUAACACAUGCAAGUCGAACGGUGAAGCGCCUUCCUUUUUGGUGGGUGUGGAUGAGUGGCGAACGGGUGAGUAACACGUGAGUAACCUGCCCCCUUCUUCUGGAUAACCGCAUGAAAGUGUGGCUAAUACGGGAUAUUCUGGGUCUGUCGCAUGAUGGGUCUGGGAAAGAUAUUGUUUCGGUGGGGGAUGGGCUCGCGGCCUAUCAGCUUGUUGGUGGGGUGAUGGCCUACCAAGGCGGUGACGGGUAGCCGGCCUGGGAGGGUGGACGGUCACACUGGGGCUGAGACACGGCCCAGACUCCUACGGGAGGCAGCAGUGGGGAAUAUUGCACAAUGGGCGCAAGCCUGAUGCAGCGACGCCGCGUGAGGGAUGGAGGCCUUCGGGUUGUGAACCUCUUUCGCCAGUGAAGCAGGCCUGCCUCGUUUGUGGGUGGGUUGACGGUAGCUGGAUAAGAAGCGCCGGCUAACUACGUG
Molecule: ribosomal RNA, 494 nt
Filed under: uncultured bacterium
Lineage: Bacteria
Description: partial 16S ribosomal RNA
Rfam family: Bacterial small subunit ribosomal RNA
Source: RNAcentral